This 565-nucleotide ribosomal RNA is filed under the name Salmonella enterica. Its description in RNAcentral is "partial 23S ribosomal RNA". It matches the Rfam family "Bacterial large subunit ribosomal RNA", at positions 2202 to 2766 of the family's 2925-position model. The record is from RNAcentral. Lineage: Bacteria; Pseudomonadati; Pseudomonadota; Gammaproteobacteria; Enterobacterales; Enterobacteriaceae.
ACCCUUUAAUGUUUGAUGUUCUAACGUGGACCCGUGAUCCGGGUUGCGGACAGUGUCUGGUGGGUAGUUUGACUGGGGCGGUCUCCUCCUAAAGAGUAACGGAGGAGCACGAAGGUUGGCUAAUCCUGGUCGGACAUCAGGAGGUUAGUGCAAUGGCAUAAGCCAGCUUGACUGCGAGCGUGACGGCGCGAGCAGGUGCGAAAGCAGGUCAUAGUGAUCCGGUGGUUCUGAAUGGAAGGGCCAUCGCUCAACGGAUAAAAGGUACUCCGGGGAUAACAGGCUGAUACCGCCCAAGAGUUCAUAUCGACGGCGGUGUUUGGCACCUCGAUGUCGGCUCAUCACAUCCUGGGGCUGAAGUAGGUCCCAAGGGUAUGGCUGUUCGCCAUUUAAAGUGGUACGCGAGCUGGGUUUAGAACGUCGUGAGACAGUUCGGUCCCUAUCUGCCGUGGGCGCUGGAGAACUGAGGGGGGCUGCUCCUAGUACGAGAGGACCGGAGUGGACGCAUCACUGGUGUUCGGGUUGUCAUGCCAAUGGCACUGCCCGGUAGCUAAAUGCGGAAGAGAUA